AUUUAUCUCUACAACAAUCGAAAAUAAGUGGCAACCUUACACUACUAUGCUAAGGGAUAACACUUUGUAUACAGGGAAAGCAUUGUUUACGAACCUUCUCUUUGCUCCCAUGAAUAGUAAU
Molecule: long non-coding RNA, 121 nt
Organism: Rhagoletis zephyria (snowberry fruit fly)
Lineage: Eukaryota; Metazoa; Arthropoda; Insecta; Diptera; Tephritidae
Source: RefSeq, a predicted model, not a curated record